RNAcentral lists this ribosomal RNA (497 nucleotides) under uncultured bacterium. RNAcentral's name for it is "partial 16S ribosomal RNA". It matches the Rfam family "Bacterial small subunit ribosomal RNA", at positions 28 to 507 of the family's 1533-position model. The record is from RNAcentral.
GAUGAACGCUGGCGGCGUGCCUAAUACAUGCAAGUCGAGCGAACAGACGAGGAGCUUGCUCCUCUGACGUUAGCGGCGGACGGGUGAGUAACACGUGGAUAACCUACCUAUAAGACUGGGAUAACUUCGGGAAACCGGAGCUAAUACCGGAUAAUAUAUUGAACCGCAUGGUUCAAUAGUGAAAGACGGUUUUGCUGUCACUUAUAGAUGGAUCCGCGCCGCAUUAGCUAGUUGGUAAGGUAACGGCUUACCAAGGCGACGAUGCGUAGCCGACCUGAGAGAGUGAUCGGCCACACUGGAACUGAGACACGGUCCAGACUCCUACGGGAGGCAGCAGUAGGGAAUCUUCCGCAAUGGGCGAAAGCCUGACGGAGCAACGCCGCGUGAGUGAUGAAGGUCUUCGGAUCGGAAAACUCUGUUAUUAGGGAAGAACAAAUGUGUAAGUAACUAUGCACGUCUUGACGGUACCUAAUCAGAAAGCCACGGCUAACUACGUG